Molecule: long non-coding RNA, 215 nt
Filed under: Elaeis guineensis (African oil palm)
Lineage: Eukaryota; Viridiplantae; Streptophyta; Magnoliopsida; Arecales; Arecaceae
Description: long non-coding RNA (EGUI_LNC055951)
Source: RNAcentral
UAUCCAAAUAAUUGGCGCACAAGUGUGGGCGUGGGAAGGCCUUUGCAUGGGAGAAAAUUCAUGAGAAGUUAUUUCUCGAGAAUUCAAAUGGGCGCAGAAGAAGUGAGGUGGCGCAGGGAGUUGAUGUCAAGGUGGUUUCUAACUUUAAAUCAACCUAAUUGAACCAACUUAAUUAAAAUAAGUUAGGUCCAAUUAGACUAAUUUAAAUCUAACAU